RNAcentral lists this ribosomal RNA (460 nucleotides) under uncultured bacterium. RNAcentral's name for it is "partial 16S ribosomal RNA". It matches the Rfam family "Bacterial small subunit ribosomal RNA", at positions 338 to 795 of the family's 1533-position model. The record is from RNAcentral.
CCUACGGGAGGCAGCAGUGAGGAAUAUUGGUCAAUGGGCGUAAGCCUGAACCAGCCAAGUCGCGUGAGGGAUGAAGGUUCUAUGGAUCGUAAACCUCUUUUAUAAGGGAAUAAAGUGUGGGACGUGUCCUGUUUUGUAUGUACCUUAUGAAUAAGGAUCGGCUAACUCCGUGCCAGCAGCCGGGGUAAUACGGAGGAUACGAGCGUUAUCCGGAUUGAUUGGGUUUAAAGGGUUCGUAGGCGGCCUUUUAAGGCAGCGGUGAAAGUCUGUGGCUCAACCAUAGAAUUGCCGUUGAUACUGGGAGUCUUGAGUAUAUUAGAGGCAGGCGGAAUGCGUGGUGUAGCGGUGAAAUGCUUAGAUAUCACGCAGAACCCCGAUUGCGAAGGCAGCCUGCCAAGCCAUGACUGACGCUGAUGCACGAAAGCGUGGGGAUCAAACAGGAUUAGAUACCCCAGUAGUC